This is a long non-coding RNA of Balaenoptera acutorostrata (minke whale), 1706 nucleotides long. RefSeq lists it as uncharacterized. NCBI's taxonomy places the organism in Eukaryota, Metazoa, Chordata, Mammalia, Artiodactyla, Balaenopteridae. The record is from RefSeq and is a predicted model, not a curated record. The transcript is spliced from 4 exons.
GCCAAGAUCCUGAUGAGAGCUGACUCUGCCCACCUUCCUGCCCUGAACCCUGACUACAGAAGUUUGCGAAGCCACCAUCACCACCCAGCUCUCCCACUUUCCUGUCCCCAGCCAUGUCAGCCAAGGAGACCGAGUUCCCUGUUCAGGCUGCUCCCUCCCUGAUCCCCGCAGAGGAUGGACGCUUCCCCCUGUGGGCAACAAUACCGUGGUGCAGCACCAACAGGGCGUCCUUCCCUUCCCACCGCCGCUGCUGCCAUCUUAGAAGCACCGCAGACACCAGCUCACCUGCCCUUCACUCUACCUGACCCAGCCUCCACCCCCAGGAAGAGGCAUCAUUGCAAGACCGAGGGAUGAAUUCAUACUUUUUAAUAAAGGAAUCUUCAAAUAGCCCUUGUAGCUAUUCCAUCAAUCCACUGGAGCACCAGCCACAGAGACAACUCAUUCACUAGGAAAACCACAGGAGCAGAGAAGAGGCUGCUGAGGCUGGGAGGAGAGAUGACUUGUGAGGUCUCAGCCGCCACUGCCACCACCACCAAUGAAACAUCUACUCCCUCAGAGGGGCCGACCCUGUGGGGCCUGCAAAGAGGAGAAGCCCACUUUGUUGGGCUGCCCUCCCCCCCUUGUGAAGCUGGCUGCUCUGAUGCCGUGUUCCUGUCCUCAGAUUGAACCCCAGAAGGCAAUAUAACAGACUCCUAUGGACCCAGCGCCGAGCUGGGGCAAGAGCCCUCCUCUGAAUGCUGCUCUGAGUUGCUGGGCAACUGCUCCCCUUCUCUGACUCAGUGGUACAGGGGAAAGAGCUGGGAGGUCCCUUCCUGGGCAGGCUGAGGUACCCAGAUUUGUGGAUGCUGUCCUUCACUCUCCACCCCCCCACUCCUUCAUCUACUCCCUUCUCCCCAUGCACGUACCCAUCCAGAGCCACAUCAGACCAGGAGCAACAAGAGCCGGAGCAGGUGCACAGAGCCAGACAACCAUCCCCGGGAGGCCCUCAGCCCAGGCAUCUCAGCCCAGCCUUGUCCCACUCCAGUGGGCAGGGAGAGCCCAGCUCAGGGACCUGGGGAAGGGGUAAGAAUGGUGUCUCCUGCCCCAUUAUCCCUCUGUGGGGGUGGGGCAGGGAUGGAGGUGCCACGGCUGCCUCUGACACAGCUCCUCUCCUUGGGUAAGAGCCUCUUUCUGUUCCCCAAGCCAAAGCCAACAAGCCAAUUAAACCCUGAGAAAGCAGAAUCGAUCUGCAGGCCAAGGGAUUACAUUGAUCUGCAGUGCUGGUACCCAGGGGGCCAUGGCUGCCUCCCCCUCGAGCCUGGAGCUCCUUCUACUGCCAUCUUCAGCUGAGCAAUGAGCAAUCCUCCCCCUUCGCAUCUCUAUCCUCCCGCACCCCUCCACCCCUGCCACACCCUGUCCGACUGCCUAUCCCCUCUCUGUUGGUCUGGGCUGAGCCUGAGGCCAUCUGUUCAGACCUAUUCAUUCACAUCACAUAAGUGCAGGUGAGGUGAUGCCAUGAAGCCUCUGUCCUUUGGGCGAUCUCUCUUCAUCUCAGUCAACCAGGGAAGGGGGCUACUGCUCUUGACCUCAGUUUGCAGUUGUGACCUGCAAGGACACAGAGUACCCAGCACCCCAAGGGUUAGCAGGUAGCAUUCCCCACACAGAGCGUGGGAGUGGGUGAACAUGGAGCUUAGGGAACCUUCUCCGGUAAAUAAAAAAGGAGAAUG